GUCAUUUAUAUAGAUCAGUGAUUUUAACCGUUUACCUCAGACGACAGUUUUCAUUUCUAUGGCAAAUUCUAAGGUCAUUUUCUUGUUGUGUUUUGAUGUUUUCCAUUGGCUGAAGACUAAGAUGAGCCUGAAGAGGAGAUUUGGGAAGUCUUUGCUUUGCCAGAUCACCUGUGGUCGAGAUGUUUUCUAACAAGAUGCCUUGUUGGUCUGGGCGAGUUUGAAGUCUUUCACAGACAGUGCAGAAGGUCUGGAGUCCAUCUUAGCUUUUAUUGGUAAGUGACUGCACAAAAGGCUGUUUGACCCACACGUAAAGCAACCAGUCAAUGUUUGCUCUCUUCAGCAUCUCUUGGGGGGGUUAAAUUAUUUUACUUUACUCAGUACUUAGUUGAAGCACCUUUUGAAGUAGCAGUUACAGCCUCAGGUCUUUUUGGGUAUGACACAGCAAUCUUUGCAACUCCUGGAUUGAUUUGUAACCAAAGCGAUCAGAAGCACCAUUCACUUCUAUAGUAUUCUUUUAGCCUACUAUGGAAGUCAAUGGUGCUUCCGGUCAGUUUGGUUACAGACAUUCCUCAAAAUAUCUUCAUAUGUUUAUGCGAACCCAUCAGCAACCAUCAAGAGAAAUUGGAGGUAGCUGAGCUAAAUUGCAGAUAUUGAUGCAAAUGAUCUGAAUAUGUAUAAUGUAAAUAUAAUAUUGCAGUUUUCUUUUUUCAUACAUUUGCAGAAGUUUCUAAAAUUCAGUUUUUACUUUGUCAUGGGGUAUGUAUUGAAGAUUUAUGAGGAAAAUAUCUAAACAAUUACAGUAUCAUGCAACCACCUUAAAAUUUAAAUGUGAAAGGGGUCUACCCUGAAUACUUUCUGAUUGCACUGUAGUGAUCUUGAUUGAAGCUUAUUGUCACCUUUGUAAACACAACAGCUUUCUUCCUUCAUCAGAUGGCUAUGCUAUGUUUCUAGACAGACUAUUAAAGAACACACACACACCCUGAUGUGCAAUAAGAUUUUUUUUAUACAUGGGCUAAAAAUGCAUCAUUUUUGGAAAAUGAAAUAACUUU
Non-coding RNA from Paramisgurnus dabryanus, 1049 nucleotides. Lineage: Eukaryota; Metazoa; Chordata; Actinopteri; Cypriniformes; Cobitidae. The record is from RefSeq and is a predicted model, not a curated record.